AUUAUUUUUAAGCAUUCUCUAAAUAAAGUUAAUCUGUUCUUAUCAGCUUGAUUUCUGAUAUAUUCUGCAUCGCAGAAUAAGUAAAUUGAACUACUUUUUGUAAAAUGACUGGAGUUUAGAAGCUUGCUUCACUCCGGUCGCUGAUCGACCUGGUAUUGCAGUUUUGCCGGGUUCGGUCCACCGUUA
RNAcentral lists this small nuclear RNA (186 nucleotides) under Zootermopsis nevadensis. Its description in RNAcentral is "U2 spliceosomal RNA". It matches the Rfam family "U2 spliceosomal RNA". From Rfam's summary of the family: U2 is a small nuclear RNA (snRNA) component of the spliceosome (involved in pre-mRNA splicing). Complementary binding between U2 snRNA (in an area lying towards the 5' end but 3' to hairpin I) and the branchpoint sequence (BPS) of the intron results the bulging out of an unpaired adenosine, on the BPS, which initiates a nucleophilic attack at the intronic 5' splice site, thus starting the first of two transesterification reactions that mediate splicing. Lineage: Eukaryota; Metazoa; Arthropoda; Insecta; Blattodea; Termopsidae. The record is from Rfam by way of RNAcentral.